This 966-nucleotide ribosomal RNA is filed under the name Microbacterium sp. RNAcentral describes it as "bacterial SSU rRNA". It matches the Rfam family "Bacterial small subunit ribosomal RNA", at positions 57 to 1036 of the family's 1533-position model. The record is from RNAcentral. Lineage: Bacteria; Bacillati; Actinomycetota; Actinomycetes; Micrococcales; Microbacteriaceae.
GCAGUCGAACGGUGAAAGAGAGCUUGCUCUCUGGAUCAGUGGCGAACGGGUGAGUAACACGUGAGCAAUCUGCCCCUGACUCUGGGAUAAGCGCUGGAAACGGCGUCUAAUACCGGAUACGAGCUGCGAAGGCAUCUUCAGCAGCUGGAAAGAACUUCGGUCAGGGAUGAGCUCGCGGCCUAUCAGCUAGUUGGUGAGGUAAAGGCUCACCAAGGCGUCGACGGGUAGCCGGCCUGAGAGGGUGACCGGCCACACUGGGACUGAGACACGGCCCAGACUCCUACGGGAGGCAGCAGUGGGGAAUAUUGCACAAUGGGCGCAAGCCUGAUGCAGCAACGCCGCGUGAGGGACGACGGCCUUCGGGUUGUAAACCUCUUUUAGCAGGGAAGAAGCGAAAGUGACGGUACCUGCAGAAAAAGCACCGGCUAACUACGUGCCAGCAGCCGCGGUAAUACGUAGGGUGCAAGCGUUAUCCGGAAUUAUUGGGCGUAAAGAGCUCGUAGGCGGUUUGUCGCGUCUGCUGUGAAAACUGGGGGCUCAACCCCCAGCCUGCAGUGGGUACGGGCAGACUAGAGUGCGGUAGGGGAGAUUGGAAUUCCUGGUGUAGCGGUGGAAUGCGCAGAUAUCAGGAGGAACACCGAUGGCGAAGGCAGAUCUCUGGGCCGUAACUGACGCUGAGGAGCGAAAGGGUGGGGAGCAAACAGGCUUAGAUACCCUGGUAGUCCACCCCGUAAACGUUGGGAACUAGUUGUGGGGUCCAUUCCACGGAUUCCGUGACGCAGCUAACGCAUUAAGUUCCCCGCCUGGGGAGUACGGCCGCAAGGCUAAAACUCAAAGGAAUUGACGGGGACCCGCACAAGCGGCGGAGCAUGCGGAUUAAUUCGAUGCAACGCGAAGAACCUUACCAAGGCUUGACAUAUACGAGAACGCUGCAGAAAUGUAGAACUCUUUGGACACUCGUAAACA